Paramuricea clavata is the source of this 871-nucleotide non-coding RNA. The record is from the annotation of a GenBank genome assembly. Lineage: Eukaryota; Metazoa; Cnidaria; Anthozoa; Malacalcyonacea; Plexauridae.
UUUCACUUAAAGGGGCCCUACAGUCAUUUUUUAGUCGAAAGCCACCUUAAGUAGGGAACUCCACGGAGAUUCGUUUGGCUGUGUCUUACAUGCAGUAUCCAUGAGUAUGAGUACUUUUGCACACCAGAAAACGCAUGCAUACUGUGGUGCGCAUGUCAAGUAGCGACAAUAACAAAAAAAUGUAAACAAUACUUACUUGACUAAAAAUUACUGUAGGGCCCCUUUAAAAAAAAAUAUUUCCAACCAUCAAGUGAGAAAAAAAAAUAUUUCUUCUAUAGGUGUACAAAAAAAAUAUUGCCUCUUAGAAAAUCCCCCCCCCCCCCAUCACUUUUCUAAUGGUCCGUCCCUUACAAAGUGCAAACCUCAUCAAGAUUUGAACCGUUUUAAAGUUGAUGGGGAGUUGAUGAGAGUUGGCAGUCAAACACUAGCAAGAGUUGCAACUCUCGAUCACCAACUCUCAUCCUCGUCUGACCAAACUUUAUGUGUUUGGGGGAGGGAUGAUAAAUACAACCUCUGUUUCUCAAGGACGUCCUAUUAAUUGGACACUUUAAUAUUGAUUUUCAAUAAUUGCUACAUGCAGCUUCAUGAAUGCACCCAGUUAUUUAUAAGUAGGCUGUAUAUCUACAGAUACUUGUACUGCAAAACUGGUUAGGGGUGGGUAAUUUUAAGGGUUAUAUAAGCAUUAUGUUGCAACUAUACUGCAUAUUAAUGUGCUUACAGGAACCAAAGAGAAUCAUUCUUGGGCAAACAGAGGUGUUCCGAAGAAAAAAUGGUAUUAUACGUCAAGUACAAUCAAAUGAUGAAGCACAUUACAUACCAUUGCUUGAAAGCCUCAAAAAUCUAUUGAGUGAUGAAUUCAUUCUUAAUGAGG